Molecule: ribosomal RNA, 253 nt
Filed under: uncultured bacterium
Lineage: Bacteria
Description: partial 16S ribosomal RNA
Rfam family: Bacterial small subunit ribosomal RNA
Source: RNAcentral
UACGUAGGGCGCAAGCGUUAUCCGGAUUCACUGGGUUUAAAGGGUGCGUAGGCGGUUUUUUAAGUCAGUGGUGAAAGCUCGCAGCUUAACUGUGUAACUGCCAUUGAAACUGAAAGACUUGAGUAUAAUUGAAGUGGGCGGAAUACAUCAUGUAGCGGUGAAAUGCUUAGAUAUGAUGUAGAACACCGAUUGCGAAGGCAGCUCACUAAAUUGUAACUGACGCUGAGGCACGAAAGCGUGGGGAGCGAACAGG